UUGAUUUUGAUUUGUUGCCUUCUGUGCUGGCUCCGGCAUGUGCACGUUGGUGACUUUCAUGCAAUCCCCUUUUGUGAACCUUUGGCCUCGUGCUGGCUUUGGCUGGCGGAGGAUUUACACAUACUUGAAUGUAACAGAAAGCCCUUGUUGUGCGCAAGCACUAAUGUA
RNAcentral lists this unclassified non-coding RNA (168 nucleotides) under uncultured Sebacina. RNAcentral's name for it is "sequence contains ITS1". The record is from RNAcentral. Lineage: Eukaryota; Fungi; Basidiomycota; Agaricomycetes; Sebacinales; Sebacinaceae.